Molecule: long non-coding RNA, 766 nt
Filed under: Pan paniscus (pygmy chimpanzee)
Lineage: Eukaryota; Metazoa; Chordata; Mammalia; Primates; Hominidae
Description: lncRNA (ENSPPAG00000044932.1)
Source: RNAcentral
AUGCAAUUAAGCUAAUAUCCGCUGAAAACUCAAGAACAUCGCGUAGCAAUUCUCCUCUGUCUCUUUUAUGUACAAUUGAUUUUUCCUUCUCUAUUGAACUAUUCCCCAAAGUAUGUAAUUUUACCCCAUUUAAAAAUAUAUAUAAUAUGUGUGUGUGUAUACAUACAUACAUAUAUAUAAAUAUAUAUAUAUAUAAUCAGCUAUAUAAUUUGUGUGUUCUUUUUGUUGUUGUUGUUUGUUUGUUUGAGACAGGAUCUCAGUCUGUCACCAAGGCUGGAGUGCAAUGGUGCAAUCAUGGCUCACUGUAGCCUCAACCUCAUGGGCUCCAGCAAUGCUCCUACCUCAAAAGGAUACCAGUCCUCCAGGCAGACAUCAGGCCCCAGGCGGACACUGGACUCAAGCUCCUGCUCCAUAUGCAGCAAUACAGGAAAUUCCAGUGCCAGCUGUUGAGCCAGUGCCAGCGCCAGGGGAAGAGCCCCCUCCAGGGACAGCGCUGGAACUAGAGGCAGCUCCAGAGUCUUCCUGCCCCUGCCCUGGUACAGCCAAGGACCAGCCCAGGGAGGAGCUUCCUGACAUCAUGGAACCUGCUGUGGCCACUGGCAUUAGCCCUGGAGCUGAAAGCGUGCUAUGCUAUUCUAAUAUGUACAAGAGUAAAAAUAAGAUUGGCAGCUGCGGGGAGAUGCGGGCAAAAGAGCAUCAGUGAGAGGUAAGCAAGUCUCAAAUUUAUGAUGUGAUCAAUUCAGAAAAAAAUAUAAAACUAACAUGA